GCAGUCGAACGGCAGCACGGACUUCGGUCUGGUGGCGAGUGGCGCAUGGGUGAGUAAUAUAUCGGAACGUGCCCAGUCGUGGGGGAUAACGUAGUGAAAAUUACGCUAAUACCGCAUACGAUCUAAGGAUGAAAGCGGGGGAUCGCAAGACCUCGCGCGAUUGGAGCGGCCGAUAUCAGAUUAGGUAGUUGGUGAGGUAAAGGCUCACCAAGCCAACGAUCUGUAGCUGGUCUGAGAGGACGACCAGCCACACUGGAACUGAGACACGGUCCAGACUCCUACGGGAGGCAGCAGUGGGGAAUUUUGGACAAUGGACGCAAGUCUGAUCCAGCCAUUCCGCGUGCAGGACGAAGGCCUUCGGGUUGUAAACUGCUUUUGUACAGAACGAAAAGGUCUCUAUUAAUACUAGGGGCUCAUGACGGUACUGUAAGAAUAAGCACCGGCUAACUACGUGCCAGCAGCCGCGGUAAUACGUAGGGUGCAAGCGUUAAUCGGAAUUACUGGGCGUAAAGCGUGCGCAGGCGGUUAUAUAAGACAGAUGUGAAAUCCCCGGGCUCAACCUGGGAACUGCAUUUGUGACUGUAUAGCUGGAGUGCGGC
RNAcentral lists this ribosomal RNA (599 nucleotides) under uncultured Comamonadaceae bacterium. RNAcentral describes it as "bacterial SSU rRNA". It matches the Rfam family "Bacterial small subunit ribosomal RNA", at positions 57 to 652 of the family's 1533-position model. Lineage: Bacteria; Pseudomonadati; Pseudomonadota; Betaproteobacteria; Burkholderiales; Comamonadaceae. The record is from RNAcentral.